This 253-nucleotide ribosomal RNA is filed under the name uncultured bacterium. Its description in RNAcentral is "partial 16S ribosomal RNA". It matches the Rfam family "Bacterial small subunit ribosomal RNA", at positions 524 to 776 of the family's 1533-position model. The record is from RNAcentral.
UACGGGGGGGGCAAGCGUUGUUCGGAAUUACUGGGCGUAAAGGGCUCGUAGGCGGCCAACUAAGUCAGACGUGAAAUCCCCAGGCUUAACCUGGGAACUGCGUCUGAUACUGGAUGGCUUGAAUUCGGGAGAGGGAUGCAGAAUUCCAGGUGUAGCGGUGAAAUUCGUAGAUAUUGGGAGGAACACCAGCGGCGAAGGCGGCGACCUGGUCAGAUACUGACGCUGAGGCGCGAAAGCGUGGGGAGCAAACAGG